UGGGGAAUAUUGCACAAUGGGCGAAAGCCUGAUGCAGCAACGCCGCGUGAGGGAUGACGGCCUUCGGGUUGUAAACCUCUUUUAGCAGGGAAGAAGCGAGAGUGACGGUACCUGCAGAAAAAGCGCCGGCUAACUACGUGCCAGCAGCCGCGGUAAUACGUAGGGCGCAAGCGUUAUCCGGAAUUAUUGGGCGUAAAGAGCUCGUAGGCGGUUUGUCGCGUCUGCUGUGAAAUCCCGAGGCUCAACCUCGGGCCUGCAGUGGGUACGGGCAGACUGGAGUGCGGUAGGGGAGAUGGGAAUUCCUGGUGUGGCGGUGAAAUGCGCAGAUAUCAGGAGGAACACCGAUGGCGAAGGCAGAUCUCUGGGCCGUAACUGACGCUGAGGAGCGAAAGGGUGGGGAGCAAACAGG
Molecule: ribosomal RNA, 409 nt
Filed under: Acidobacteriota bacterium
Lineage: Bacteria; Pseudomonadati; Acidobacteriota
Description: Acidobacteria bacterium partial 16S ribosomal RNA
Rfam family: Bacterial small subunit ribosomal RNA
Source: RNAcentral